Molecule: long non-coding RNA, 220 nt
Filed under: Elaeis guineensis (African oil palm)
Lineage: Eukaryota; Viridiplantae; Streptophyta; Magnoliopsida; Arecales; Arecaceae
Description: long non-coding RNA (EGUI_LNC026650)
Source: RNAcentral
AUUGUCCGGGCGGAGGGCCGCGGCCCGGCAGCGCGGAGGAGGGAGGGAACGUGGAGUUGGUGCCGGCCGCUGCGGCCGGAAGGCGGGAGGAGGGAUUUGGUAGACAGGGAGGAGGAGGAGGAGCCGGCGGCGAGGGCCAUUAUGGGAACCAGGAAAAUUUGCUCUCUCGGUCCUUUUUUGGGAGAAGUGAUUCGAGAGCUGUUUUCUCUAGAGAGAGAUG